UACGUAGGGGGCGAGCGUUGUCCGGAAUUAUUGGGCGUAAAGAGCGUGUAGGCGGUUCGGUAAGUCUGCCGUGAAAACCUGAGGCUCAACCUCGGGUCUGCAUCCGAUACUGCCCGGCUAGAGGUAGGUAGGGGAGAUCGGAAUUCCUGGUGUAGCGGUGAAAUGCGCAGAUAUCAGGAGGAACACCGGUGGCGAAGGCGGAUCUCUGGGCCUUACCUGACGCUCAGGCGCGAAAGCUAGGGGAGCGAACUGG
This 253-nucleotide ribosomal RNA is filed under the name uncultured bacterium. RNAcentral's name for it is "partial 16S ribosomal RNA". It matches the Rfam family "Bacterial small subunit ribosomal RNA", at positions 524 to 776 of the family's 1533-position model. The record is from RNAcentral.